Molecule: ribosomal RNA, 522 nt
Filed under: uncultured bacterium
Lineage: Bacteria
Description: bacterial SSU rRNA
Rfam family: Bacterial small subunit ribosomal RNA
Source: RNAcentral
UGAGUUUGAUCAUGGCUCAGGAUGAACGCUAGCGAUAGGCUUAACACAUGCAAGUCGAGGGGCAUCACGAGGUAGCAAUACUUUGGUGGCGACCGGCGUACGGGUGCGUAACACGUAUGCAACCUUCCUGUAAGUGUGGGAUAGCCUCCUGAAAGGGAGAUUAAUACCUCAUGAUAUGUAUUUGCUGCAUGGCAUUUACAUUAAACAUUUAUGGCUUACAGAUGGGCAUGCGUUCCAUUAGGCAGUUGGUGUGGUAACGGCUCACCAAACCUACGAUGGAUAGGGGUUCUGAGAGGAAGGUCCCCCACACUGGAACUGAGACACGGUCCAGACUCCUACGGGAGGCAGCAGUGAGGAAUAUUGGUCAAUGGGCGCGAGCCUGAACCAGCCACGUCGCGUGAAGGAUGACGGCCUUAUGGGUUGUAAACUUCUUUUACAGGGGAAUAAAGUGAGUCACGUGUGAUUUUUUGCAUGUACCCUGUGAAUAAGCAUCGGCUAACUCCGUGCCAGCAGCCGCGGUAA